Molecule: ribosomal RNA, 2901 nt
Filed under: Klebsiella pneumoniae
Lineage: Bacteria; Pseudomonadati; Pseudomonadota; Gammaproteobacteria; Enterobacterales; Enterobacteriaceae
Description: 23S ribosomal RNA
Rfam family: Bacterial large subunit ribosomal RNA
Source: RNAcentral
GGUUAAGCGACUAAGCGUACACGGUGGAUGCCCUGGCAGUCAGAGGCGAUGAAGGACGUGCUAAUCUGCGAAAAGCGUCGGUAAGGUGAUAUGAACCGUUAUAACCGGCGAUGUCCGAAUGGGGAAACCCAGUGUGAUUCGUCACACUAUCGUUAACUGAAUACAUAGGUUAACGAGGCGAACCGGGGGAACUGAAACAUCUAAGUACCCCGAGGAAAAGAAAUCAACCGAGAUUCCCCCAGUAGCGGCGAGCGAACGGGGAGCAGCCCAGAGUCUGAAUCAGCUUGUGUGUUAGUGGAACGGUCUGGAAAGUCCGACGGUACAGGGUGAUAGUCCCGUACACCAAAAUGCACAGGCUGUGAACUCGAAGAGUAGGGCGGGACACGUGGUAUCCUGUCUGAAUAUGGGGGGACCAUCCUCCAAGGCUAAAUACUCCUGACUGACCGAUAGUGAACCAGUACCGUGAGGGAAAGGCGAAAAGAACCCCGGCGAGGGGAGUGAAAAAGAACCUGAAACCGUGUACGUACAAGCAGUGGGAGCACCUUCGGGUGUGACUGCGUACCUUUUGUAUAAUGGGUCAGCGACUUAUAUUCUGUAGCAAGGUUAACCGUAUAGGGGAGCCGCAGGGAAACCGAGUCUUAACUGGGCGUUAAGUUGCAGGGUAUAGACCCGAAACCCGGUGAUCUAGCCAUGGGCAGGUUGAAGGUUGGGUAACACUAACUGGAGGACCGAACCGACUAAUGUUGAAAAAUUAGCGGAUGACUUGUGGCUGGGGGUGAAAGGCCAAUCAAACCGGGAGAUAGCUGGUUCUCCCCGAAAGCUAUUUAGGUAGCGCCUCGUGAAUUCAUCUUCGGGGGUAGAGCACUGUUUCGGCUAGGGGGUCAUCCCGACUUACCAACCCGAUGCAAACUACGAAUACCGAAGAAUGUUAUCACGGGAGACACACGGCGGGUGCUAACGUCCGUCGUGAAGAGGGAAACAACCCAGACCGCCAGCUAAGGUCCCAAAGUCAUGGUUAAGUGGGAAACGAUGUGGGAAGGCACAGACAGCCAGGAUGUUGGCUUAGAAGCAGCCAUCAUUUAAAGAAAGCGUAAUAGCUCACUGGUCGAGUCGGCCUGCGCGGAAGAUGUAACGGGGCUAAACCAUGCACCGAAGCUGCGGCAGCGACACUAUGUGUUGUUGGGUAGGGGAGCGUUCUGUAAGCCUGCGAAGGUGACCUGUGAGGGUUGCUGGAGGUAUCAGAAGUGCGAAUGCUGACAUAAGUAACGAUAAAGCGGGUGAAAAGCCCGCUCGCCGGAAGACCAAGGGUUCCUGUCCAACGUUAAUCGGGGCAGGGUGAGUCGACCCCUAAGGCGAGGCCGAAAGGCGUAGUCGAUGGGAAACAGGUUAAUAUUCCUGUACUUGGUGUUACUGCGAAGGGGGACGGAGAAGGCUAUGUUAGCCGGGCGACGGUUGUCCCGGUUUAAGCAUGUAGGCUGGUUGUCCAGGCAAAUCCGGAUAAUCAAGGCUGAGGUGUGAUGACGAGGCACUACGGUGCUGAAGUAACAAAUGCCCUGCUUCCAGGAAAAGCCUCUAAGCAUCAGGUAACAUCAAAUCGUACCCCAAACCGACACAGGUGGUCAGGUAGAGAAUACCAAGGCGCUUGAGAGAACUCGGGUGAAGGAACUAGGCAAAAUGGUGCCGUAACUUCGGGAGAAGGCACGCUGGUGUGUAGGUGAAGUCCCUGCGGAUGGAGCUGAGACCAGUCGAAGAUACCAGCUGGCUGCAACUGUUUAUUAAAAACACAGCACUGUGCAAACACGAAAGUGGACGUAUACGGUGUGACGCCUGCCCGGUGCCGGAAGGUUAAUUGAUGGGGUUAUCCGUAAGGAGAAGCUCUUGAUCGAAGCCCCGGUAAACGGCGGCCGUAACUAUAACGGUCCUAAGGUAGCGAAAUUCCUUGUCGGGUAAGUUCCGACCUGCACGAAUGGCGUAAUGAUGGCCAGGCUGUCUCCACCCGAGACUCAGUGAAAUUGAACUCGCUGUGAAGAUGCAGUGUACCCGCGGCAAGACGGAAAGACCCCGUGAACCUUUACUAUAGCUUGACACUGAACAUUGAGCCUUGAUGUGUAGGAUAGGUGGGAGGCUUUGAAGCGUGGACGCCAGUCUGCGUGGAGCCAACCUUGAAAUACCACCCUUUAAUGUUUGAUGUUCUAACGUUGGCCCCUGACCGGGGUUGCGGACAGUGUCUGGUGGGUAGUUUGACUGGGGCGGUCUCCUCCCAAAGCGUAACGGAGGAGCACGAAGGUUAGCUAAUCCUGGUCGGACAUCAGGAGGUUAGUGCAAUGGCAUAAGCUAGCUUGACUGCGAGCGUGACGGCGCGAGCAGGUGCGAAAGCAGGUCAUAGUGAUCCGGUGGUUCUGAAUGGAAGGGCCAUCGCUCAACGGAUAAAAGGUACUCCGGGGAUAACAGGCUGAUACCGCCCAAGAGUUCAUAUCGACGGCGGUGUUUGGCACCUCGAUGUCGGCUCAUCACAUCCUGGGGCUGAAGUAGGUCCCAAGGGUAUGGCUGUUCGCCAUUUAAAGUGGUACGCGAGCUGGGUUUAGAACGUCGUGAGACAGUUCGGUCCCUAUCUGCCGUGGGCGCUGGAGAAUUGAGGGGGGCUGCUCCUAGUACGAGAGGACCGGAGUGGACGCAUCACUGGUGUUCGGGUUGUCAUGCCAAUGGCACUGCCCGGUAGCUAAAUGCGGAAGAGAUAAGUGCUGAAAGCAUCUAAGCACGAAACUUGCCCCGAGAUGAGUUCUCCCUGAGACUUUAAGUCUCCUGAAGGAACGUUGAAGACGACGACGUUGAUAGGCCGGGUGUGUAAGCGCAGCGAUGCGUUGAGCUAACCGGUACUAAUGAACCGUGAGGCUUAACCUU